UCAUGCGAAAAGCGGUCAUAAUAUAGACAGAGAAAAAUUUAAAAGCUUACCACCAAAUAUCAUUGAUCUACGGGUUAUCUUGAAUAAGCGAACGAAACAUCACGCUAUUCUUAUCUAUGAUUUUGCAUAUCGAGAUAAGAGAGCAAUUAUGUAAAAGCUUUUUCUUUAGCACAGUUAGGGCUAGAUUUGCGUUGCAGAGCUUUGACAUUAAUUGACGAGUCUGAAAGCAAUACGGCUGCUAUUUUAAGCCAAGAUUAAGAAAUAUUUAAAGAGUGCUUAAAAAUAAGUAAAAUUAAAUCCCAAACGAAUUUGCGGGAUUCAGUUAAUUGUGCUUAGUGAUUUUAUGCCAGUGCCACGUGCCAGUGCGGCUAGGACCAGAUUAUGCAAUCGGCUAGUACCAGAUUAUGCAAUCAGCUCGUAUCAGGUUAUGCAACCGAUUUGAGGUUACCUGGAAGCCGAAAUGGAUGAAUUAAUCUUUUAUGGGAUCGUAAUCUUUUAAUAUAUUUUGGAUUCGACGACAACCACCUUUUCGCUACAUGGGGAGAAAACUCUAGCGAAUUAUUUAUAAAUUUGUAACUAUUAGCAGUGUAAUAUUGUAAACAUCGGCCUGCUGAAUUUUAUACAAAGCUAUGAAUUAUUGCAUGAA
This is a long non-coding RNA of Drosophila ananassae, 646 nucleotides long. RefSeq lists it as uncharacterized. The record is from RefSeq and is a predicted model, not a curated record. Lineage: Eukaryota; Metazoa; Arthropoda; Insecta; Diptera; Drosophilidae. The transcript has 2 exons.